This 453-nucleotide ribosomal RNA is filed under the name uncultured Acholeplasma sp. RNAcentral's name for it is "bacterial SSU rRNA". It matches the Rfam family "Bacterial small subunit ribosomal RNA", at positions 923 to 1382 of the family's 1533-position model. The record is from RNAcentral. Lineage: Bacteria; Bacillati; Mycoplasmatota; Mollicutes; Acholeplasmatales; Acholeplasmataceae.
GCACAAGCGGUGGAUGAUGUGAUUAAUUCGAAGCAACGCGAAGAACCUUUACCAGGUCUUGACAUCCCCUGCAAAGCUAUGGAGACAUAGUGGAGGUUAUCAGGGAGACAGGUGGUGCAUGGUUGUCGUCAGCUCGUGUCGUGAGAUGUUGGGUUAAGUCCCGCAACGAGCGCAACCCUUAUUGCUAGUUACCAUCAUUGAGUUGGGGACUCUAGCGAGACUGCCAGUGAUAAACUGGAGGAAGUGGGGAUGACGUCAAAUCAUCAUGCCCCUUAUGACCUGGGCUACAAACGUGAUACAAUGGCUGAAACAAAGGGCAGCGAAGCAGUGAUGUGGAGCGAAACCCAAAAAAGCAGUCUCAGUUCGGAUUGAAGUCUGCAACUCGACUUCAUGAAGUCGGAAUCGCUAGUAAUCGCGGAUCAGAACGCCGCGGUGAAUACGUUCUCGGGGUUU